RNAcentral lists this ribosomal RNA (366 nucleotides) under uncultured soil bacterium. Its description in RNAcentral is "bacterial SSU rRNA". It matches the Rfam family "Bacterial small subunit ribosomal RNA", at positions 26 to 392 of the family's 1533-position model. The record is from RNAcentral.
AGGACGAACGCUGGCGGCGUGCUUAACACAUGCAAGUCAAGGGGGCCCAGCAAUGGGCAACCGGCGAACGGGUGCGUAACACGUGAGCAACCUACCGAACUGUGGGGGAUAGCCGGCCUAACGGCCGAGUAAUACCGCAUACGCUCUCAGCGAGGCAUUUCAUUGAGAGGAAACCUACGGGACAGAUCGAGGGGCUCGCGGCCUAUCAGCUAGUUGGCGAGGUAACGGCUCACCGAAGGCAACGACGGGUAGCUGGUCUGAGAGGAUGGCCAGCCACAGUUGGGACUGAGAUACGGCCCAGACCUCCGUACGGGGAGGCAGGCGACGGUGGGGUAAUCGUUGGCGCAAGUUCGGGACCUUAACGGC